RNAcentral lists this ribosomal RNA (490 nucleotides) under uncultured Chloroflexota bacterium. RNAcentral's name for it is "bacterial SSU rRNA". It matches the Rfam family "Bacterial small subunit ribosomal RNA", at positions 67 to 600 of the family's 1533-position model. Lineage: Bacteria; Bacillati; Chloroflexota. The record is from RNAcentral.
CGCACCCUUCGGGGUGAGUGGCGCACGGCUGAGUAACACGUGGGAAUCUGUCUUCUAGUGGGGGAUAACGUCUCGAAAGAGACGCUAAUCCCGCAUACGCUCCGUAAGGAGGAAAGGCGCAAGUCGCUAGAAGAGGAGCCUGCGGCCCAUCAGGUAGUUGGAGAGGUAAUGGCUCACCAAGCCUAUGACGGGUAGCUGGUCUGUGAGGACAACCAGCCAGACUGGGACUGAGAACGGCCCAGACUCCUACGGGAGGCAGCAGUAAGGAAUUUUCGUCAAUGGGGGAAACCCUGAACGAGCAACGCCGCGUGGAGGAUGACGGUCUUCGGAUUGUAAACUCCUUUUGUGAGGGACGAUAAUGACGGUACCUCGCGAAUAAGCCCCGGCUAACUCUGUGCCAGCAGCCGCGGUAAUACAGAGGGGGCAAGCGUUGUCCGGAGUUACUGGGCGUAAAGCGCACGUAGGCGGUUCUGCAAGUGGUGUGUGAAAC